RNAcentral lists this ribosomal RNA (1071 nucleotides) under Triticum aestivum (bread wheat). Its description in RNAcentral is "partial small subunit ribosomal RNA". The record is from RNAcentral. Lineage: Eukaryota; Viridiplantae; Streptophyta; Magnoliopsida; Poales; Poaceae.
AUGAACAGAGCCAAAACCACCCCAGAGAUCAUAGAGCCUAAAUUAUACGGGAGGGAUAGCCAAAAAAGAAUUAUUGUGGAUGAAAUUGUUGAUGGUGAGUGUCGUGAACUUACUGUACUUCCAAUUGUUGGCACGGGGGGUAUUGGGAAGACAACAUUCACACAACACAUAUAUGAACAAAUGAAGAGCCAUUUCCAAGUUCCCAUUUGGGUAUGUGUCUCUUUCGAUUUUAAUGUGAAUAGGUUGGCAAAAGACAUUGUGAACAAGAUCCCCAGAGUUAACAAUGAAAACAACAAUUGUAGCGAUGAAGAACUUAUCAUGCAAAGAAUAAAAGGAAAGAGGGUUUUGCUUGUCUUAGAUGAUGUAUGGACACAUCAUGAGAAUGAGUGGAAAAAACUACUAAAUCUGUUUAAAAAAGAGGGGGCAAAAGGUAACAUGGUUAUAGUCACGACUCGAAUACCCGAGGUAGCAAACAUGGUUAAGACAACUGAAUGCUCGCUGGAAUUGGAGCAUCUAUGUCCUAAAGACAUUAUGUAUUUCUUUGAAGAAUGUGUAUUUGGUGACCAGAAACCAUGGGUUGACCAUCCAGAAUUAUCUGAAGUUGGGAGCAAAAUAGUAAACAAGCUGAAGGGUUCUCCUCUUGCAGCAAAAACUGUUGGUAGAUUACUGAGAAACAAACUUACAUUGAAACACUGGACAAAUGUUCUAGAAAGUAAAGAAUGGGAAUCACAAAGCAAUGAUAAUGAUAUUAUGCCAGCUUUAAAGCUCAGCUAUGAUCAUCUACCUUUCCAUCUGCAACAAUGUUUUUCUUUCUGUGCUUUGUUUCCUGAAGAUUAUGAAUUUGGUAGUGAAGAGUUGGUUCACUUCUGGAUUGGACUAGACAUUUUACACUCAUGUGACCAGAAUCAGAAGAGAAAAAAAAUUGAAGAUAUUGGACUGUGCUAUUUGACUGACUUGGUAAACCAUGGAUUUUUUAGAAUGAAUAAAACGGAAGAUGGCCAUCCUUAUGAUGUCAUCCAUGACUUACUGCAUGAGUUACCGAAAAAGGCUUUCGCCCCGCUUUAUAAAUAA